AGCGAACGCUGGCGGCAGGCUUAACACAUGCAAGUCGAGCGGGCGUAGCAAUACGUCAGCGGCAGACGGGUGAGUAACGCGUGGGAACAUACCUCUUGGUUCGGAACAACACAGGGAAACUUGUGCUAAUACCGGAUAAGCCCUUACGGGGAAAGAUUUAUCGCCGAGAGAUUGGCCCGCGUCUGAUUAGCUAGUUGGUGAGGUAACGGCUCACCAAGGCGACGAUCAGUAGCUGGUCUGAGAGGAUGAUCAGCCACAUUGGGACUGAGACACGGCCCAAACUCCUACGGGAGGCAGCAGUGGGGAAUAUUGGACAAUGGGCGCAAGCCUGAUCCAGCCAUGCCGCGUGAGUGAUGAAGGCCCUAGGGUUGUAAAGCUCUUUUGUGCGGGAAGAUAAUGACGGUACCGCAAGAAUAAGCCCCGGCUAACUUCGUGCCAGCCGCCGCGGUAAG
Molecule: ribosomal RNA, 452 nt
Filed under: uncultured bacterium
Lineage: Bacteria
Description: bacterial SSU rRNA
Rfam family: Bacterial small subunit ribosomal RNA
Source: RNAcentral